AUUUGACUGGGCUAAUGAAACUGACUUUUCCAGGGAAAAGAUAUCCAUAAAUUUGAUAAUUAGCUAUCGAUAAAUUAUUUUAAUUUGGGAAAGUAGGUGACUGAUGAAAUGUCAACAUUAUGAACUCUUACACCUACUUAUUCAAAUGACAACCUUUCAGUUUUGUGUUACAAAAAGGAGAAAUCCAGUAUUUAAUAUAAUGAUAAUAUUGGAAAAGAAAGUCAGUUUUCUCCCUGGUGAUAUUUAUCCCUGAAGACAAUAGUAGAGAGGCAUGCGGUCAUCCUUGUGUGUUUAAAUAUUUAGAAUGCUGACAUGUCAAACAGUUCCAUGGGCUUUUUUCAUGAGUAACUAGUAGGAAAUAUUACAUAACUCAAAUUAUUUAGUCAAGAAAAGAAAAAUUAAACAAAGGACAUAAUAAACUUAUUAAAGGUCUUAAUGAAUAUGAAUAUUAAUAGUAUUUCUCUGUUUUUUAAGAAGAAAAUAAAAAGAAAAGGUCUAAACCAGUAGGCCAUUAAUCUGUCCUUUUUAUUCAAAGAUUCGGCAACACACCAGUGCAA
RNAcentral lists this small RNA (557 nucleotides) under Pan troglodytes (chimpanzee). Its description in RNAcentral is "processed transcript". Lineage: Eukaryota; Metazoa; Chordata; Mammalia; Primates; Hominidae. The record is from RNAcentral.